AUCAAAGUUGUCCUCAUAUCUAAGAACCUGACCUGGGAACUCUCUCUCCCUGCUUGGGUUCCAUUUUGAUGGAAUUGACAAUUUGAAUCCAUCUCCAUUGUAUGGCAAGAAGUCUGUGUUUGUUUUAGGCUUGCCAAAGACAUUGGCAGCUUCACCAUAGGCAGCAUCUGCAGGAGCAACCUUGGAGCCAAUGGCUGCAGCACCAAUGAGUACUGUGAGAGCCAAUCUUCUGGAGACAAGGGCAACAUCCUCCUCCUGUGGAGGCUGCUUGUGGGUAGAACGACAGAUGAACUGGUUGGUAGGCUUGGUGUUGCUAGACACUUGACGCUGCUGGGACAAUGAAGACAAUCUAUUAGGAGUAGCGAGUGCAUGGUGGUGCAAGAAGCAGGAAGUGGAGGCCAUUUUUGAUCCCUUGAGUUGCAGAUAUGCCUGCAGGAGUAGGAUGAAACUAACCCAAAGAACAAUGGAAGAGGAAAUUGAGCAGCAAAUCGCUUAGGGUGAUUUGUCUUUGGGGUAUGUGAAGGGAAAUGGCUGAUUUUUGGAUAUUGGAUGAUGAGAUGGAUCAGAUUUUUGGAUGUGGGAUAAGGUUGUAGAGGCUCUGAGUGGUGCCACGUGGCACUAACAUUCCAUUUCUGCUUUUUGCAACAUCCAGUUACCCUUUUGGUUUCAAUAAAGGUCAUCAAGAGAGAACCU
Molecule: unclassified non-coding RNA, 693 nt
Filed under: Hevea brasiliensis (rubber tree)
Lineage: Eukaryota; Viridiplantae; Streptophyta; Magnoliopsida; Malpighiales; Euphorbiaceae
Source: RNAcentral